Long non-coding RNA from Engraulis encrasicolus (European anchovy), 1644 nucleotides. RefSeq lists it as uncharacterized. The transcript is spliced from 3 exons. Lineage: Eukaryota; Metazoa; Chordata; Actinopteri; Clupeiformes; Engraulidae. The record is from RefSeq and is a predicted model, not a curated record.
CAAAUGUGCCUGCACAUUAGUGAUGUCAACAAUAAUCAAUUAGGAAAAUGCCCAAAUUGAUGCGGCAUAUUUUUUAAUGUUUCAAUUACUUCUGUGGGCAUUUCUGGAGUAAAUGAACUUUACAUUAAAUGAAAGCACUUCAAGCAUUGAAAACUGGAGGAUUGCAGGACACACAGCAGCCAAUAAAAUGUUGUUCAGUGUCUGACUGCUUGUACUGCCUCAUGACAGAUAAAAAUGUGCAAUGCUUUCAGUAGAAAUGUAAUGCAUUGCAAUGCAUCGUACAAUCGGACUGAAUCGAUUUGAAAUGAAACGUUACCUCCUGAAUCGUAAUCGAAUUUUAAGGGUAGUGGCAAUGCAUUCCACUACUGCACAUAUACUGUUGUUGGAGUAUGUCUCAAGCAUUUUCUUGUAUCAUUGCCUUUUCAGGAGUAGAUGAGAGUGCCUGGCAAAUCCCGCUGAUGUGCUUUGUGCGUCUGAACAGAAACCACUGCAGUGAGGCUUGACAUGGUUAUCCCUCAUUCAUUGCCUGGUAAUACAGUGGAGAAACGUUGUAAGACUGUCUGAAUGAGCUCCUGCUGUUGACGGACAUCCACCAGGCUGUGCAGUGACUGCUGACCAAUAAGGGUUGAAAGGACGGGUAGAGGAGUGGAGGUGGACAUGGAGCCCUUUGUGUUCGACUUCGAAAUACAAGAGGACAUGGAGGACUUCUCGAAGGACUGCCAGGCCGUACUGGCAACAUGUGCCCACCCUAACACUCACACUUUCCCUAAAGUUUUGGUAUCAAGGUCUGUGUCUGGCAGUGCAAUGAACUUGCGCACACCUAGUGGUGUUGCGGUAAGCAACCACUUGGCCAACUGAAACAAAGAUGCGAGGCGAAUUAAUUGUUAUUACCAAAAUAUUGUCAGCAUUUCAGUGCAACAGUGUUUAGAUAAGUACCUAAUAAGCUAGUUGAGCCUGUGGGUUUGUAUUCGAUUUACAACGGCUAACACUCAUAAACAAACAAACACACACCCACCCACACACACACACACACACACACACACACACACUCCCAGGGCUUUUUCUGAACGGGGAAAUAGGGGCGCUCCACCCUCAUACCUCCGUGGGUGCACCCUCAUACUUUUAUUUUUAUAUAUGUAUAUAUUUGAGCGCCCCUAAUAAAUUUCUCAUUCAUGGGGGGGAACACCCCCCUUCACCCCCUGUAACCUGCCAUGAUGCUCCCUCAUGCCAAAAAAUCCUAGAAAAAGUCCUGCACUCCCAACAUUUCCUUUGACUCUCCCACACACUCCAAAACAACUCCAGUUGAGAAAAUGUUCUUUUCUAAUCUCACCAUUACGGUCUUCCUGGAUGAUAUCAGAAUAACAGCCACUCUUGGAAAUGUGUAGUAAAUGUUUUAUUUAUGUACACGUUUAUACUUCAGUUGUUUUCAUUUAGUAUUGUGUUUGCUUUCUUAUCUUAACAAAUAAGAUGCUUCAGAGGCUGAGAGUGCACAUAGUUAAAUGUCUGCACAUAUGUAAUUAUUCAUAUUUUAAUUAAAAGUUUAUUUUUGUGUUUUUUUUUGUUUUGUUUGAUUGUCCUGGUCCGUCUUUGGUGGAUUUAAAACUGUGUUUGUCUAAUAAACAAAUUUGAUUUAAUUGAACCAAU